ACUCCUACGGGAGGCAGCAGUGGGGAAUCUUAGACAAUGGGGGCAAGCCCUGAUCUAGCCAUGCCGCGUGAGUGACGAAGGCCUUAGGGUCGUAAAGCUCUUUCGCCAGGGAAGAUAAAUGACGGUACCUGGUAAAGAAGUCCCGGCUAACUCCGUGCCAGCAGCCGCGGUAAUACGGAGGGACUAGCGUUGUUCGGAAUUACUGGGCGUAAAGAGUUCGUAGGCGGAUAAGCAAGUAA
Molecule: ribosomal RNA, 239 nt
Filed under: uncultured bacterium
Lineage: Bacteria
Description: partial 16S ribosomal RNA
Rfam family: Bacterial small subunit ribosomal RNA
Source: RNAcentral